GUUGAGGUAGCCUAGUCUGGUAGGGCGUUAGACUGCUAAUCUAAUGAUGUAAUAUCUCAUGGGUUCAAAUCCCAUCCUCAACG
This 83-nucleotide transfer RNA is filed under the name Caudoviricetes sp. RNAcentral describes it as "tRNA-Ser". It matches the Rfam family "tRNA". Rfam says of the family: Transfer RNA (tRNA) molecules are approximately 80 nucleotides in length. Their secondary structure includes four short double-helical elements and three loops (D, anti-codon, and T loops). The record is from RNAcentral. Lineage: Duplodnaviria; Heunggongvirae; Uroviricota; Caudoviricetes.